Molecule: ribosomal RNA, 444 nt
Filed under: uncultured Glomus
Lineage: Eukaryota; Fungi; Glomeromycota; Glomeromycetes; Glomerales; Glomeraceae
Description: SSU rRNA
Rfam family: Eukaryotic small subunit ribosomal RNA
Source: RNAcentral
AGCAGCCGCGGUAAUUCCAGCUCCAAUAGCGUAUAUUAAAGUUGUUGCAGUUAAAAAGCUCGUAGUUGAAUUUCGGGAUCAAUAUGUUGGUCGUGCCUUGGUACGUACUAAUUUAUUGGUUUCUUCCUUCUGACGAACCAUGAUGUCAUUAAUUUGGUGUCUUGGGGAAUCAGGACUGUUACUUUGAAAAAAUUAGAGUGUUUAAAGCAGGCUCACGCUUGAAUACAUUAGCAUGGAAUAAUGAAAUAGGACGUUUGAUUCUAUUUUUGUUGGUUUCUAGGAUUGACGUAAUGAUUAAUAGGGGAUAGUUGGGGGCAUUAGUAUUCAAUUGUCAGAGGUGAAAUUCUUGGAUUUAUUGAAGACUAACUACUGCGAAAGCAUUUGCCAAGGAUGUUUUCAUUAAUCAAGAACGAAAGUUAGGGGAUCGAAGACGAAUCAGAUACC